RNAcentral lists this ribosomal RNA (1343 nucleotides) under metagenome. Its description in RNAcentral is "bacterial LSU rRNA". It matches the Rfam family "Bacterial large subunit ribosomal RNA", at positions 1540 to 2915 of the family's 2925-position model. The record is from RNAcentral.
AGCCUGUGGGAUGUGACGGAGUGGCGAGGUGGUACCAGCUUAUCGGAUUGCUGGUGCAGUCGGACCGCUUCCAGGAAAUAGCACCCACAAUAAGACCGUACCCCAAACCGACACAGGUGGACUGGUAGAGUAUACCAAGGCGCUUGAGAAAAUGGUGUUGAAGGAACUCGGCAAAUUGCUCCCGUAACUUCGGAAGAAGGGAGACCCGCCUCGGGCAACCGGGGUUGGGUGGCACAGACCAGGGGGUGGCGACUGUUUACCAAUAACACAGGGCUCUGCGAAGUCGCAAGACGACGUAUAGGGUCUGACGCCUGCCCGGUGCCGGAAGGUUAAGAGGAGAUGUGCAAGCAUUGAAUCGAAGCCCCGGUAAACGGCGGCCGUAACAAUAACGGUCUAAGGUAGCAAAAUUCCUUGUCGGGUAAGUUCCGACCUGCACGAGGGCGUAACGACUUCCCCGCUGUCUCCAACACCAACUCAGCGAAAUUGAACUCUCCGUGAAGAUGCGGAGUUCCCGCGGUCAGACGGAAAGACCCCGUGCACCUUUACUACAACUUUGCAGUGGUAUCAGGACCUAUCUGUGUAGGAUAGGCGGAGCCUAUGAAGCUUGGGCGCUAGCUUGAGUGGAGGCAACCUUGAAAUACCGCCCUGAUCGGUUCUGAUAUCUAACCGCGCCCCGUUAUCCGGGGCCGGGACCCUGCAUGGUGGGUAGUUUGACUGGGGCGGUCGCCUCCCAAAGAGUAACGGAGGCGCGCGAUGGUGGGCUCAAGCUGGUCGGACAUCAGCUGUCGAGUGCAAUGGCACAAGCCCGCCUGACUGCAAGACUGACAAGUCGAGCAGAGACGAAAGUCGGCCAUAGUGAUCCGGUGGUUCCACGUGGACGGGCCAUCGCUCAACGGACAAAAGGUACGCCGGGGAUAACAGGCUGAUCUCCCCCAAAAGUCCAUAUCGACGGGGAGGUUUGGCACCUCGAUGUCGGCUCAUCACAUCCUGGGGCUGGAGCAGGUCCCAAGGGUUCGGCUGUUCGCCGAUUAAAGAGGUACGUGAGCUGGGUUCAGAACGUCGUGAGACAGUUCGGUCCCUAUCUGCCGUGGGUGUCGGAGACUUGAGAGGAUUUGUCCCUAGUACGAGAGGACCGGGAUGAACGCACCUCUGGUGUACCAGUUGUCGUGCCAACGGCAUCGCUGGGUAGCUAAGUGCGGACGGGAUAACCGCUGAAUGCAUCUAAGCGGGAAACCCACCUCAAAACCAGGUCUCCCUGAAGAGCCGUGGUAGACCACCACGUCGAUAGGCCAGGUGUGGAAGUGCAGCAAUGCACGAAGCUAACUGGUACUAAUCGCUCCAAA